UUCCGGUUGUUCCUGCCGGAGGCUACCGCUAUUGGAGUUCGAUUAAGCCAUGCGAGUCUAGAGGCCUAGCCUCGGCGUACCGCUCAGUAACACGUGGGUAACCUACCCUAUGCUGGGGAAUAAGCUCGGGAAACUGAGAAUAAUGCCCCAUAGUCCACUACGCCUGGAACGGUGAGUGGAUCAAAGCUCCGGCGGCAUAGGAUGGGCCUGCGGCGUAUCAGGUUGUAGGGGGUGUAAUGUACCCUCUAGCCAUCCACGCGUACGGGUGUUGGGAGACAUUGCCCGGAGAUGGAUUCUGAGACACGAAUCCAGACCCUACGGGGUGCAGCAGGCGCGAAAACUUGGCAAUGCGAGAAAUCGUGACCAGGGAACUCCAAGUGGCAGGGGUAAGACCCUGUCUUUUUCCGACUCUAAAUAGGUCGGCGAAUAAGGGGUGGGUAAGGACGGUGCCAGCCGCCGCGGUAAUACCGGCGCCUCAAGUGGUAGUCGCUUUUAUUGGGCCUAAAACGUCCGUAGCCGGUCUGGUACAUUCGUGGGUAAAUCAACUCGCUCAACGAGUUGAAUUCUGCGAGGACGGCCAGACUUGGGACCGGGAGAGGUGUGGGGUACUCUCAGGGUAGGGGUAAAAUCCUGUCAUCCUGAGAGGACCACCUGUUGCGAAGGCUCCACACUAGAACGGAUCCGACGGUCAGGGACGAAGCCUAGGGGCACGAACCGGAUUAGAUACCCGGGUAGUCCUAGGUGUAAACGCUGUGGACUUGAUGUUGGGGACGCUCCGAGCGUUCUCAGUGUCGAAGCGAAGGUGAUAAGUCCACUGCCUGGGGAGUACGGUCGCAAGGCUGAAACUUAAAGGAAUUGGCGGGGGAGCACCGCAACCUGAGGAUUGUGCGGUUUAAUUGGAUUCAACGCCGGA
RNAcentral lists this ribosomal RNA (913 nucleotides) under uncultured archaeon. Its description in RNAcentral is "bacterial SSU rRNA". It matches the Rfam family "Archaeal small subunit ribosomal RNA", at positions 1 to 922 of the family's 1478-position model. The record is from RNAcentral.